AGUGGAAUGGCAAUGCUUACAUCAUGAGGCAAUUUUCUAGGUUCUUUUUUGACUUCAACCAAUCUGCUAUUCUGCUCUGGUCCUGCUAAUCUGGAAUACAACUUUAGUUCUUUGCUUUUGGACAUUUCAAAGCAGAUAACGUAUUUCUUGUUUUGUAUUUUUAAACUAUAUAACACUUCAGGAAAUUUUCUCAAGACCCAAACUCUGUCUUCUUCGUGUGGAAAAGAAUGAAGUUUCGCCUUCUUCUUCUUCUUCUUCUUUUGCAGUGCUUCUGCUGAGGUGAUAAAAGCUCUCCCAGGUCAAGUCGCCAAUCUUACGUUCAAGCAACACUCUGGUUACAUUGUUACUGAACCGAAACAUACUACUUUGUGGAAGUUGAUUCUGCCAACCCACGGUGACAUUCCUUGACAUUGUGUCUUAAUAGAGCCCCGGUUGUUGAUCUUUGGGCUUUGGUGCAUUCACAGAACAUGGUCCUUUCCGGCUAGGGGAUGAUGGAAACUUGAUCAGGAGUGAAUAUUCAUGGAAUUUGAAUCAAACAUGUUGCACCUUGAGAGUCCGAUCGGAGUUGCAUUUUCUUACUCAAAUACGAGCUUGGAUUACCUCAGUGUGAAUGAUACUACAAAAGGUCGAUAUGAUUAGUGCUAAAAAGUCAUCAGGCACAUCGGUAAUUGUUAAACUCAGAGCACUGAUAAUGAGUUUUUUCAGCUGAGGAGAAUCUAAUAUCCAUGCUCAAUUGGUUCAAAAAAUUCCCACAAUAUAGAGUCCCUUCAUGGUAAUCUAUCCAAAGAAUGCAUCGAAAUGGUCAACAAAGAGCAAGAAGAAGUGGUUCAUAUACUGGACCCGGGGACCUGACCACACUUGGGCUGACCAUUUAUCUGGAGCGCUCAAUAUGUUACAUGUGAAGGUCGAUACAAGUGAAUUUUUGUAAAUAUGUCAUGCAAAAUGCACAGGCUCUUUCUAAUUAGCAAUAUUAUUUGA
Theobroma umbraticum is the source of this 978-nucleotide long non-coding RNA. RefSeq lists it as uncharacterized. NCBI's taxonomy places the organism in Eukaryota, Viridiplantae, Streptophyta, Magnoliopsida, Malvales, Malvaceae. The record is from RefSeq and is a predicted model, not a curated record.